RNAcentral lists this transfer RNA (73 nucleotides) under Ailuropoda melanoleuca (giant panda). It matches the Rfam family "tRNA". Rfam says of the family: Transfer RNA (tRNA) molecules are approximately 80 nucleotides in length. Their secondary structure includes four short double-helical elements and three loops (D, anti-codon, and T loops). Further hydrogen bonds mediate the characteristic L-shaped molecular structure. tRNAs have two regions of fundamental functional importance: the anti-codon, which is responsible for specific mRNA codon recognition, and the 3' end, to which the tRNAs corresponding amino acid is attached (by aminoacyl-tRNA synthetases). tRNAs cope with the degeneracy of the genetic code in two manners: having more than one tRNA (with a specific anti-codon) for a particular amino acid; and 'wobble' base-pairing, i.e. permitting non-standard base-pairing at the 3rd anti-codon position. Lineage: Eukaryota; Metazoa; Chordata; Mammalia; Carnivora; Ursidae. The record is from Rfam by way of RNAcentral.
ACCGGAGUGACUCAGUUGGUAGAGCAUGUGACUCUUGAUCUUGGGGUUGUGGGUUCAAGCCCCACGUUGGGUG